Molecule: ribosomal RNA, 774 nt
Filed under: uncultured Neocallimastigales
Lineage: Eukaryota; Fungi; Neocallimastigomycota; Neocallimastigomycetes; Neocallimastigales
Description: partial large subunit ribosomal RNA
Rfam family: Eukaryotic large subunit ribosomal RNA
Source: RNAcentral
GUACACGCUGUGACUAGCAUAUCAAUAAGCGGAGGAAAAGAAACUAACAAGGAUUCCCCUAGUAACGGCGAGUGAAGCGGGAAGAGCUCAAAUUUGAAAUCUUAAAGGGUUUCCCUUUACGAAUUGUAGUUUAAAGAAGUGUUUUCUGUUGAGGUUUUGGUAAAAGUUCUUUGGAAUAGGACAUCAUAGAGGGUGAGAAUCCCGUAUUUGACCCUUACUUUCAACUUUGUGAUACACUUUCAAAGAGUCGGAUUGUUUGGGAAUGCAGUCCAAAAUGGGUGGUAAAUUUCAUCUAAAGCUAAAUAUUGGCGAGAGACCGAUAGCGAACAAGUACCGUGAGGGAAAGAUGAAAAGAACUUUGAAAAGAGAGUUAAACAGUACGUGAAAUUGUCAAAAGGGAAGCGUUUGACACCAGUGUUGUUUUUCUGAAAAUCAAUUAAAGAACUGUUUAUGCUAAGCUGUUUAGACUUUAUCAGCUAACUGUUUAGUUUUGAGCUUUUCUUUAAUGCACUUUUCAGUUAACAAGUCAACAUCAAUUUCUUUUGCUGUAAAAAAGCUUGAGGAAGGUGGCUUGAGAUUCGUCUUAAGUGUUUAUAGCCUCUUGCCUAUGCAGUCGGAGAGAUUGAGGUCUGCAGCGUAGAUCCUUCGGGGCUAAAUGCAUUUGUGCUAAGUUAUAGCAUUUUAUAGACAACUUGUUGACUAUGAUUUGUCUUGUAGCUUACUCGCUUAUGUUAUUUUACCUACGCUUAGGAUGUUGAGUCGUAGAGCACGCAG